GCUGCUCCCCCCGGCCCGGCUGCCUCACCGCUCCCGGCGGCUCCCCGCUUGGAAAUGGAGACCGGCAACUCUCACCAGAGCUCACCAGCAUCCCACGCCCAUGGUAUCAGCUUUAAAAAGUAAAGCUGCUCGUAGUGGGGCUGAGAUCGCAGGUGCCACCACAGAGGCCCAUGGUAAGCAUCACUAAAAAGCAAGAGAAAACAGAGUCCCCAGGCAAGACUACAGUGCUGGUACACAACCAUGUACAGCCUCAUUCCAGCCUUCUACAGCACCUGCCACAGCAAAAGCCUUGACGCAAACCGAUUCCAAGUCUGCUCCUUCAACCCACCGGCAGCCCAGGGGCCCGAGAAGCUGGCUGUCCCUGCGAGGCUCCCUGGCACCCACCUGGGGGAACAUGUUCCUCCUUAAACGGGCCCUGUCCGUGAGAGGUGAACGCCGAGCAUGACACCUCGGGAAAUACCAGAAUUAUGCGGCUGGGAAGCAAAGGACCCCGGAUUUAACAGCUCUCCCGCUUUGCAAGGGCGGUUCUGUGUUAUUGUCCUAAUUUCUUACAGAACCCGAGGUGCUCUGUUAUACUCAAAAGAAAAAAUAAGAUUCCGAGUGAAGCCUUCAGAAUAAAAGGCUGGUUAGUGUAACAUUCCCGGGGCAGCUACCACCCGGCUCCUAUGAACUACAGUGGGGGGAAGCUUGAGAAACCCCGGGCAGAUCCCAUUAGCCAAGGCGGCUGCGGCUCUGGAAGCCAGUCAACUUCGCUCUUCCAGCUGACUGCUGGAUUAUGCCCGGAUGAGUUUUACAUAUAGCAGGCUGUAUACGGAGUAUGUCUUUAUGUUUAACAUUUUAAUUUGGGCAUGCUAAUUAGACAUUCGGUCCCCACGGUUAUAUCAGUAGAUACCUAAUCAUUUCCCACUAGAAGUAAAGGAAUACUCAAGACGGUAAACACUCUACUUUCUUUCCCUAGCUCAGCUACAGCAUCGCUUCUUACAUCCCUCUUCCAGAGGCGUCCCUUCGAACAAAAUAGGCAUUUAUUAAAUGAAAGGGAGCGGGGGGGGGGGGGGGGGGGGGAAUGGAAAAAAAUUGCUCCCUGUAGCACUCUUACAAUUGAGGUGCGGAGACCCGGCAAUCCUGGCCGAUCCAGGCUUUUUGGAGGUCAGGCAGCAAAGUAGUUCGAGCUUUGCCGAGUUAACUUGUUGCUCUAUUUAGCCUGAAGUUUUUGCUGGUCGCUUGCGGUACCCCGAAGCUGCUGACUGAGGGAGGCACAGCGCAGGGAGCUGCGCUUCGAACUUUGGUGCUAUUAAAAAUACAACGCAGGGCACACUUGGGGGGACUGGGGGGUGAGGGGAGGCAGAGGGAACCGGGGGGGAGGAAAUCCGCUUUGUCCCAAAACCGAGCUGAUGGACUUUGCGGGGUCUCUUCCAACUCAAAAACCCACCCGCUGAUGAGGCGAGGGAAAUGUUCACUUAACUACGGCAAAUCUCGAGUAAGCGACCACGUUUCUGAGAAGAAUUGCGCUCUGGAAAUGUGUUUUACUAGUCUGGAAUAUUGCUAGUGCUUAUUUCGCCAAACGUGGUAGGUGGAAAGUUUUGUUCAUGUAAAUAUCUCAAUCUUUUUCCCGCACGGUCAAUACAGACGGAGACUCGACUCCGUUUUCCAAACGAAGACCCACAAACACUUUAAAUGAAAAGUUUAUGUUCGUGUAGGUCGUUUCCUCUCUUCAAUUUCUUUUCUCUCCCCCCCCCCAUCAUUUUUUUUUUUCCCCAUCUUUUUCUGUAUGUGUGUGUAAGUGUUAGGUUUUUAGGCGGGGAGCUCAUCUUGCCAGGAUCUAUCAUAUUUAUGGGCUGUGUGAUUUCCAGGGCUCCAAUUGGUCUUUCCUUUAUGGAGGCAAGGAAUAAAACUUUCCCAGUCGGACGGAAACUGCUGGGGCUCCAGAGGAGGGGAACAAAGUGGCUUCAAUUCUCCCCUCAGCCCCGGGGCCACCUCUUCCCACCUCCCGCUCCGGGGGCUGCCGGGGACAUUCCCCCUCCCCCCCUUGCAGGUGCGCUAGGGGAUGCUGCAGCCACGCUUGUCCGUGUGCCCAGCAUCGUACCGUGUUUAGGGAGGAAUACCGCAAGAAAAACUAAAUUUCUCCUUCCUACCCACUCUUGCAGCCACUUAGGAGGGAAACGGAGGAAAGAAGAGGGCGCCUGGGGUAAGGGACUGAGCCUACGUGUGUUUGGAAAGGGACAGAGAGCCGGAGCGGUGCCGAGUUGCGGCCGCCGUCGAUGUGUGUCGGUUUUAGUUGAGGUUGGUGUCCGCGAGUGUCCCGGGCGGCGACAACGUGUGCCCGGUGUGCGGCCGGUGCAGGCAGGGCGGGAAACAGG
RNA transcript from Pezoporus flaviventris, 2357 nucleotides. It is a transcript of the gene named collagen alpha-2(VIII) chain-like, with no coding region annotated. The transcript is spliced from 5 exons. The record is from RefSeq and is a predicted model, not a curated record. NCBI's taxonomy places the organism in Eukaryota, Metazoa, Chordata, Aves, Psittaciformes, Psittacidae.